RNAcentral lists this long non-coding RNA (307 nucleotides) under Setaria italica (foxtail millet). RNAcentral describes it as "long non-coding RNA (SITA_LNC006293)". The record is from RNAcentral. Lineage: Eukaryota; Viridiplantae; Streptophyta; Magnoliopsida; Poales; Poaceae.
UUAUGGUAUCAAGGCAAGAGAAACAUACAUAUGCAAAUGAGUAUUUUGAUUUUGAGAAGUUGGAGGAAAAAUAAGAUGUAGGUCCAAAUAUGUUUCGCCUACAAUGACUUACUGGGCUUCCAUUUAGCAUUCAUGUUUGCUACAUGAGGUCCAACUUGAGAAUCAGAUGCGGGGAGAUAGGAUACCAUAAAUUCGGCUAUGUACAUCUUUGAUAGCGAUAUAAGUGCUUGAUGGGUCUGAAAACUGCUGUAACUUGUUCUCUGUUAUGGUAAUGAAAAUUCAGGUUGGCUUGUUCUGAAAAAAGAAA